Molecule: ribosomal RNA, 307 nt
Filed under: uncultured fungus
Lineage: Eukaryota; Fungi
Description: eukaryotic LSU rRNA
Rfam family: 5.8S ribosomal RNA (bases 1-71)
Source: RNAcentral
GUGAAUCAUCGAGUCUUUGAACGCACCUUGCACCCUCUGGUAUUCCGGAGGGUAUGCCUGUCUGAGUGUCCGAACACGAUCGGUCCCCGGGGGUCACCCCGAGGGGUCGGAAUUGGGCGUCGCCUUGCACCAGGCCCGCCUCAAAGUCAUCGGCCGGCGGAAGGCCCCGGUCCUGCGUGAUACGUUUCGCCCGACCGGGGGUCUGGAUGCCUCCUCGAACCCGCCACGCCUUCCGCGUGGAUCUGAACGAGUUACCUCAGAUCAGGUAGGACUACCCGCCGAACUUAAGCAUAUCAAUAAGCGGAGG